UAACAGGUCUGUGAUGCUCUUAGAUGUCCUGGGCUGCACGCGUACUACAAUAACGGUACCAGCGAGCGCUAUGGUUUUUUAACCCCUUAUCCUAAUAGGAUUGGGUAAACUUUUCAAACACCGUUAUGACAGGGAUCGAGGAUUGGAACAUCCUCGUGAACGAGGAAUUCCUAGUAAGCGUGGUUCAUCAUACCACAUUGAUUACGUCCCUGCCUUUUGUACACACCGCCCGUCGCUCCUACCGAUGGGACGAAGAGAUGAACCUGGCGGACCAAACCGUAAGGUGAGGGAAACCAGUUAAAUCUAUUCGUCUGUAGGAAGGAAAAGUCGUAACAAGGUCUUCGUAGGUGAACCUGCGUAGGGAUCAUUU
Molecule: ribosomal RNA, 370 nt
Filed under: Naegleria fowleri
Lineage: Eukaryota; Heterolobosea; Eutetramitea; Acrasida; Naegleriidae
Description: SSU rRNA
Rfam family: Eukaryotic small subunit ribosomal RNA
Source: RNAcentral